AUGCAAGUCGGGCGAGAACUCUUGAAAGGCAACUGGAAAGGGGGAAAGCGGCAAACCGGUGAGUAACACGUGAGCAACCUGCCCUCAAGUGGGGAAUAGCCCGCUGAAAGGCGGAUUAAUACCGCAUACGGCCCUGCAUCGCAUGGUGCGGCAGCCAAAGCUGGGGAUCUUCGGACCUGGCGCUUGUGGAGGGGCUCGCGGCCUAUCAGCUUGUUGGCGGGGUGAAAGCCCACCAAGGCUAAGACGGGUAGCUGGUCUGAGAGGUCGGACAGCCACACUGGGACUGAGACACUGCCCAGACACCUACGGGUGGCUGCAGUCGCGAAUCAUUGGCUAAUGUGCGCAAGCAUGACCAUGCGACGCCGCGUGGGGGAGGAAGGUCUUCGGAUCGUAAACCCCUGUCACCGGGGAAUAAUGACCGGCCUUUAAUAGGGGCCGGGCGAGAACCAUCCCGGAGAGGAAGUAGUGGCUAACUCCGUGCCAGCAGCCGCGGUAAUACGGAGACUACGAGCGUUACUCGGAUUCACUGGGCGUAAAGGGUGCGUAGGCGGUCGAGUGUGUCAGGUGUGAAAUCCCGGGGCUUAACCCCGGAACGGCGCUUGAAACUACCCGGCUGGAGGCUUGGAGAGGGCAGUGGAAUUCCCGGUGUAGCGGUGAAAUGCGCAGAUAUCGGGAGGAACACCAACGGCGAAGGCAGCUGCCUGGACAAGAUCUGACGCUGAAGCACGAAAGCGUGGGGAGCAAAAGGGAUUAGAUACCCCUGUAGUCCACGCCUUAAACUUUGCACACUAGGUCUUGGGGGAUUCGACCCCCCCAGGGUCCAAGCUAACGCGUUAAGUGUGCCGCCUGAGGACUACGGCCGCAAGGCUAAAACUCAAAGGAAUCGACGGGGCCCCGCACAAGCGGUGGAGCAUGUGGCUCAAUUCGAUCGACGCGAAGAACCUUACCAGGACUUGACAUGCAGUGGACCGCCAUCCGAAAGGGGGCUUUCCCGCAAGGGACCGCUGCACAGGUGCUGCAUGGCUGUCGUCAGCUCGUGUCGUGAGAUGUUGCCUUAAGUGGCGCAACGAGCGCAACCCCUGUCCUUAGUUACCAUCAUUUAGUUGGGGACUCUAAGGAGACAAACUUGUUUUAUACAAGUGGGAAGGUGGGGAUGACGUCAAGUCAGUAUGGCCCUUAUGUUCUGGGCUGCACACGUGCUACAAUGCCCGGCACAAUGGGUUCCAAGACCGCGAGGUGGAGGCAAUCCUCAAAGCCGGGCCUAGUUCAGAUUGAAGUCUGCAACUCGACUUCAUGAAGCUGGAAUCGCUAGUAAUGGUGCAUCAGCUACGGCACCGUGAAUACGUUCCCGGGGCUUGUACACACCGCCUGUCACAUCAUGAAAGCCGGUUUGCCCCGAAGUGCGUGAGCCAACUCGCAAGAGAGGCAGCGCCCUAAGGGUGGGCUGGUGAUUGGGAUGAAGUCAUAACAAGGUA
This 1475-nucleotide ribosomal RNA is filed under the name metagenome. RNAcentral describes it as "bacterial SSU rRNA". It matches the Rfam family "Bacterial small subunit ribosomal RNA". The record is from RNAcentral.